CUACGGGAUGCUCCAGUGAGGAAUAUUGCACAAUGGGGGGAACCCUGAUGCAGCAACGCCGCGUGGAGGAUGACGCAUUUCGGUGUGUAAACUCCUUUUAUAUGUCAAGAAAAUGACGGUAGCAUAUGAAUAAGCACCGGCUAACUCCGUGCCAGCGAGCCGCGGUAAUACGGAGGGUGCAAGCGGUUACUCGGAAUCACUGGGCGUAAAGGACGCGUAGGCGGGUUGGAAAGUCAGGUGUGAAAUCCUACAGCUUAACUGUAGAACUGCACUUGAAACUUCUAAUCUAGAGUAUGGGAGGGGGAGAUGGAAUUAGUGGUGUAGGGGUAAAAUCCGUAGAUAUCGCUAGGAAUACCUAAAGCGAAGGCGAUCUCCUGGAACAUUACUGACGCUAAGGCGUGAAAGCGUGGGGAGCAAACAGGAUUAGAUACCCGUGUAGUC
This 441-nucleotide ribosomal RNA is filed under the name uncultured bacterium. Its description in RNAcentral is "partial 16S ribosomal RNA". It matches the Rfam family "Bacterial small subunit ribosomal RNA", at positions 339 to 795 of the family's 1533-position model. The record is from RNAcentral.